UAGGGAAUCUUCCGCAAUGGACGCAAGUCUGACGGAGCAACGCCGCGUGAGUGAGGAAGGUCUUCGGAUCGUAAAGCUCUGUUAUGAGGGAAGAACGAGUGUGAGAGUAACUAUUCAUGCUGUGACGGUACCUCAGAAGAAAGCCCCGGCUAACUACGUGCCAGCAGCCGCGGUAAUACGUAGGGGGCGAGCGUUGUCCGGAAUUAUUGGGCGUAAAGCGCGCGCAGGCGGUUUUUUAAGUCUGAUGUAUAAGCCCAGGGCUUAACUUUGGGAGGCAUUGGAAACUGGGAGACUGGAGUGUAGGAGAGGAAAGUGGAAUUCCACGUGUAGCGGUGAAAUGCGUAGAGAUGUGGAGGAACACCAGUGGCGAAGGCGACUUUCUGGCCUAUAACUGACGCUGAGGCGCGAAAGCGUGGGGAGCAAACA
This 426-nucleotide ribosomal RNA is filed under the name uncultured Paenibacillus sp. Its description in RNAcentral is "bacterial SSU rRNA". It matches the Rfam family "Bacterial small subunit ribosomal RNA", at positions 355 to 774 of the family's 1533-position model. The record is from RNAcentral. Lineage: Bacteria; Bacillati; Bacillota; Bacilli; Caryophanales; Paenibacillaceae.